GAUGAACGCUGGCGGCGUGCCUAAUACAUGCAAGUCGAGCGAACAGACGAGGAGCUUGCUCCUCGGACGAUUGCGGCGGACGUGUGAGUAACACGUGGAUAACCUACCUAUCAGACUGGGAUAACUUCGGGAAACCGGCGCUAAUACCGGAUACUCUAUUCAACCGCAUGGUUCAAUAGUAAAAGACGGUUUUGCUGUCACUUAUAGAUGCAUCCGCGCCGCCUUAGCUAGUUGGUAAGGUAACGGCGUACCAAGACAACAAUGCGUAGCCGAACUGAGAGGGUGAGCGGCCACACUGUAACAGAGAGACGGUCCAGACGCCUACGGGAGUCAGCGGUAGGGAAGCUUCCGCUAUUGGCGAAAGCGUGACGGAGCAACGCCGCGUGAGUGAGUAAGGGCUUCGGAUCUUAAAACUCUGUUAUUAGUGAAGAACAAAUGUGUAAGUAACUAUGCACGUCGUGAGGGUAGCUAGUCAGAAAGCCACGGCUAACUACGUG
This 497-nucleotide ribosomal RNA is filed under the name uncultured bacterium. Its description in RNAcentral is "partial 16S ribosomal RNA". It matches the Rfam family "Bacterial small subunit ribosomal RNA", at positions 28 to 507 of the family's 1533-position model. The record is from RNAcentral.